GGAUAACCUGCCCUUGGGUCCGGCAUAACCCCGGGAAACUGGGGAUAAUUCCGGAUAACGCACAUAUGCUGGAAUGCUUUAUGCGUAAAAUGGAUUCGUCUGCCCAAGGAUGGGUCUGCGGCCUAUCAGGUAGUAGUGGGUGUAAUGUACCUACUAGCCAACAACGGGUACGGGUUGUGAGAGCAAGAGCCCGGAGAUGGAUUCUGAGACAUGAAUCCAGGCCCUACGGGGCGCAGCAGGCGCGAAAACUUUACAAUGCGGGAAACCGUGAUAAGGGGACACCGAGUGCCAGCAUCAUAUGCUGGCUGUCCGGGUGUGUAAAAUACACCUGUUAGCAAGGGCCGGGCAAGACCGGUGCCAGCCGCCGCGGUAACACCGGCGGCCCGAGUGGUGAUCGUGAUUAUUGGGUCUAAAGGGUCCGUAGCCGGUUUGGUCAGUCCUCCGGGAAAUCUGACGGCUCAACCGUUAGGCUUUCGGGGGAUACUGCCAGGCUUGGAACCGGGAGAGGUAAGAGGUACUACAGGGGUAGGAGUGAAAUCUUGUAAUCCCUGUGAGACCACCUGUGGCGAAGGCGUCUUACCAGAACGGGUUCGACGGUGAGGGACGAAAGCUGGGGGCACGAACCGGAUUAGAUACCCGGGUAGUCCCAGCCGUAAACGAUGCUCGCUAGGUGUCAGGCAUGGCGCGACCGUGUCUGG
RNAcentral lists this ribosomal RNA (698 nucleotides) under uncultured archaeon. Its description in RNAcentral is "bacterial SSU rRNA". It matches the Rfam family "Archaeal small subunit ribosomal RNA", at positions 102 to 798 of the family's 1478-position model. The record is from RNAcentral.